GAUGAACGCUGGCGGCGUGCCUAAUACAUGCAAGUCGAGCGAACGGACGAGAAGCUUGCUUCUCUGAUGUUAGCGGCGGACGGGUGAGUAACACGUGGAUAACCUACCUAUAAGACUGGGAUAACUUCGGGAAACCGGAGCUAAUACCGGAUAAUAUUUUGAACCGCAUGGUUCAAAAGUGAAAGACGGUCUUGCUGUCACUUAUAGAUGGAUCCGCGCUGCAUUAGCUAGUUGGUAAGGUAACGGCUUACCAAGGCAACGAUGCAUAGCCGACCGGAGAGGGGAGUAGGCCACACGGAAAGUGAGACCCGCUCCAGAAUCCAACGGGAGGCAGCAGUGGGGGAUCUGCCGCAAUGGGCGAAAGCCUGAAGGAGCAACUCCGCGUGAGUGAUGAAGGUCUGCGGAUCGUAAAACGCUGUUAUUAGUGAAGAACAUAUGUGUAAGUAACUGUGCACAUCUUGACGGUACCUAAUCAGAAAGCCACGGCUAACUACGC
RNAcentral lists this ribosomal RNA (496 nucleotides) under uncultured bacterium. Its description in RNAcentral is "partial 16S ribosomal RNA". It matches the Rfam family "Bacterial small subunit ribosomal RNA", at positions 28 to 506 of the family's 1533-position model. The record is from RNAcentral.